GUGCCAGCAGCCGCGGUAAUACGUAGGGUGCGAGCGUUAAUCGGAAUUACUGGGCGUAAAGCGUGCGCAGGCGGUUUUGUAAGUCAGAUGUGAAAGCCCACGGCUUAACCGUGUGAAGUGCAUCUGAAACUGGUCGGCUUGAGUAUCGGAGAGGAAAGUGGAAUUCCCGGUGUAGAGGUGAAAUUCGUAGAUAUCGGGAGGAAUACCGGUGGCGAAGGCGACUUUCUGGACGAAUACUGACGCUGAGGCGCGAAAGCGUGGGGAGCAAACAAGAUUAGAUACCCUGGUAGUCCACAGCUGU
This 301-nucleotide ribosomal RNA is filed under the name uncultured bacterium. Its description in RNAcentral is "bacterial SSU rRNA". It matches the Rfam family "Bacterial small subunit ribosomal RNA", at positions 505 to 803 of the family's 1533-position model. The record is from RNAcentral.